RNAcentral lists this transfer RNA (71 nucleotides) under Allobates talamancae (Talamanca rocket frog). RNAcentral's name for it is "tRNA-Gln". It matches the Rfam family "tRNA". From Rfam's summary of the family: Transfer RNA (tRNA) molecules are approximately 80 nucleotides in length. Their secondary structure includes four short double-helical elements and three loops (D, anti-codon, and T loops). Lineage: Eukaryota; Metazoa; Chordata; Amphibia; Anura; Aromobatidae. The record is from RNAcentral.
UAAAGAGUAGUAGAAUGGGACUACAGGGGGUUUUGAUUCCCCAGAUAUAGGUUCAACUCCUAUUUCUUUAA